This 885-nucleotide ribosomal RNA is filed under the name Staphylococcus aureus. Its description in RNAcentral is "partial 23S ribosomal RNA". It matches the Rfam family "Bacterial large subunit ribosomal RNA", at positions 1473 to 2355 of the family's 2925-position model. The record is from RNAcentral. Lineage: Bacteria; Bacillati; Bacillota; Bacilli; Caryophanales; Staphylococcaceae.
CGCAGUAGGAUAGGCGAAGCGUGCGAUUGGAUUGCACGUCUAAGCAGUAAGGCUGAGUAUUAGGCAAAUCCGGUACUCGUUAAGGCUGAGCUGUGAUGGGGAGAAGACAUUGUGUCUUCGAGUCGUUGAUUUCACACUGCCGAGAAAAGCCUCUAGAUAGAAAAUAGGUGCCCGUACCGCAAACCGACACAGGUAGUCAAGAUGAGAAUUCUAAGGUGAGCGAGCGAACUCUCGUUAAGGAACUCGGCAAAAUGACCCCGUAACUUCGGGAGAAGGGGUGCUCUUUAGGGUUAACGCCCAGAAGAGCCGCAGUGAAUAGGCCCAAGCGACUGUUUAUCAAAAACACAGGUCUCUGCUAAACCGUAAGGUGAUGUAUAGGGGCUGACGCCUGCCCGGUGCUGGAAGGUUAAGAGGAGUGGUUAGCUUCUGCGAAGCUACGAAUCGAAGCCCCAGUAAACGGCGGCCGUAACUAUAACGGUCCUAAGGUAGCGAAAUUCCUUGUCGGGUAAGUUCCGACCCGCACGAAAGGCGUAACGAUUUGGGCACUGUCUCAACGAGAGACUCGGUGAAAUCAUAGUACCUGUGAAGAUGCAGGUUACCCGCGACAGGACGGAAAGACCCCGUGGAGCUUUACUGUAGCCUGAUAUUGAAAUUCGGCACAGCUUGUACAGGAUAGGUAGGAGCCUUUGAAACGUGAGCGCUAGCUUACGUGGAGGCGCUGGUGGGAUACUACCCUAGCUGUGUUGGCUUUCUAACCCGCACCACUUAUCGUGGUGGGAGACAGUGUCAGGCGGGCAGUUUGACUGGGGCGGUCGCCUCCUAAAAGGUAACGGAGGCGCUCAAAGGUUCCCUCAGAAUGGUUGGAAAUCAUUCAUAGAGUGUAAA